This is a long non-coding RNA of Nymphaea colorata (pocket water lily), 910 nucleotides long. RefSeq lists it as uncharacterized. The transcript has 2 exons. Lineage: Eukaryota; Viridiplantae; Streptophyta; Magnoliopsida; Nymphaeales; Nymphaeaceae. The record is from RefSeq and is a predicted model, not a curated record.
UUCCCUCGUGAUUCUCAGGGGAAACAAAAGGAGAACAAGAGAGAGAGGGAAUUUUAGGCCAUGGCGGGGAAGGGAGUGGCCGUGGCGAUCUUUCUGGCCGUUGUCUUCUCAACGGCCACGCUCUCGCGAUCGGCGACCGUCGCGGCGCCGCCCUCGACCUCGCCGGCGCGCUCUCCCGUUGCCGCGCCUCCGCAUGGUAUCGUUCCCCAACUGCCUUCUCCCGCUCCUGGCGGCAGCGGCGGCGGUUCUUCUUCCUCCGACGGGCCCACGAUUCCGUCCACCUUGAGCCCCCCCAACCCAGACGCUGUGGGCUCUCCGACGUCGUCUCCGGCCAAGUCAUCCUCCGUCACGGAGACAUUCCCGAGACCCACUUACAUAACCUGGGGUAUCUUGUGCGUGGUCGUGUUUUUGCUGCCAGAAUGGCUUGUAUGAGGAAAUCGGAUUUUCAGUAGGGGAGAAUGAAUCUAGCCAGUACUGAGGGAUGGAGACUUGGGGCCAGGCUGGGCCGGUCCGGGUAGCAGCCUACAUGUCUGAAGAAAGGCGUUGGCCUGGGCCCAGUCAGGCUGGAUACUAUACAGUCUAUACUGCUGUCACCAGGUCAUACUGGGCACACUGAUUUUAACUACAGCAUGGCUCCAUUACUAUUCUUGCCCAUUGUCGGCUUAUUGGCGCUAUGGUCCAAUGUUGGCGGGGAUUGGCGGGGAUUGGGAACAAUGGCGGAGCCAGAAACUUUUGGCUGAUAAAUUUUAGACUCUUUGGAAAAACUUAGAGUUGAGAGAUACUCAUAUAUAAAUAACAAAAUGGUUGAGGGCACCAGUAUGUAAAUAAAACAAAAUUUGUGGGACCGUCUGGGCACAUGUAGCUCCGCCACUGCUUGUGGAAAAUAUAAUAUCCGUAUACAUAUUAUCAA